GAUGAACGCUAGCGGCAGGCCUAACACAUGCAAGUCGAGGGAGAAGCCCUUUCGGGGGCAGAAACCGGCGCACGGGUGCGUAACGCGUAUGCAACCUACCUUUCACCUGGGGAUAGCCCGAAGAAAUUUGGAUUAAUAUCCCAUAAUAUUGUUGGAUGACAUCCUUUGGCAAUUAAAACUGCGGUGGUGAUAGCUGGGCAUGCGUCCUAUUGGCUAGUUGGAGUGGUAACGGCACCCCAAGGCUACGAUAGGGAGGGGUCCUGAGAGGGAGAUCCCCCACACUGGUACUGAGACAGGGACCAGACUCCUACGGGAGGCAGCAGUGAGGAAUAUUGGUCAAUGGUCGGAAGACUGAACCAGCCAUGCCGCGUGCAGGAAGAAUGCCUUAUGGGUUGUAAACUGCUUGUAUAUAGGAAGAAUAAGGCGUACGUGUACGUUGAUGACGGUACCAUAUGAAUAAGCAUCGGCUAACUCCGUG
This 478-nucleotide ribosomal RNA is filed under the name uncultured bacterium. Its description in RNAcentral is "partial 16S ribosomal RNA". It matches the Rfam family "Bacterial small subunit ribosomal RNA", at positions 28 to 507 of the family's 1533-position model. The record is from RNAcentral.